GAGUUAUUCAUGCUUCUAUCUCUGAGACAGUCAUCCAGGUAUCAUAGUAUUCCUGCCUUUAUAUAAGUUAGUUUAUAAAGAUCAGGCUGGCAAAGAGGUGUUAUGACAGACGGUACUUUGAAAACAAAGUCUUCACGCUGAUAGCCCUUCUCAAGUACAUUCAAUGAAGGUCAGAUGAGGAUAAAAAACUAACUCUUGACAAUACUGAUAUCUUUCACUUAAGGGUCUUCUGUUUGAUCUGCAGCAAGAAGAAAACACUGCUCCUCGACUACAUGAUGCACUUGGCUUCUAAACCCCAAGCUAACCAGACUAUCCUAUAUCCUCUAUUUGCUCCAUUCACCUGUAUAUCCCUUCUUGUGGGGCCAUGGAAAACCGUGGAGCAAGGGCAAGAGUCCUUGUGCUUUUCAGCUUGGCUUCUAUUCUAAUAAGAAAGAAGAAAGUCAGCAUUUCAUGUCCCAAGAGCAUGAACGUCUUGCCCUGCUUUGACUCAGGCAAAGAACAUCUCCAGACCAAGUGUCCUCUGGCGGUAUGUAAGUAUCCUUACAAUUUCUAUCGCAUGGCCUGCCCCGCAGUCUCUUCGCCAGUACCAUUCCAUGAUUAGUAAAUGCACAGACGUAAAAGAAACCUGCCAGUGCCUUGAAGUGAAAUCUCAGCACAUCAUAACACAUCACACUGAAAGCAGUGUAAUAAAAACAGGUAUCCAGGUUUAAGGAAAUAAGAG
This 721-nucleotide long non-coding RNA is filed under the name Felis catus (domestic cat). Its description in RNAcentral is "lncRNA (ENSFCAG00000045003.2)". Lineage: Eukaryota; Metazoa; Chordata; Mammalia; Carnivora; Felidae. The record is from RNAcentral.